AGUUAAAAGCCUCUGUUCUAAG
Drosophila melanogaster (fruit fly) is the source of this 22-nucleotide non-coding RNA. Lineage: Eukaryota; Metazoa; Arthropoda; Insecta; Diptera; Drosophilidae. The record is from Ensembl.